This 1359-nucleotide ribosomal RNA is filed under the name Triticum aestivum (bread wheat). RNAcentral describes it as "partial small subunit ribosomal RNA". Lineage: Eukaryota; Viridiplantae; Streptophyta; Magnoliopsida; Poales; Poaceae. The record is from RNAcentral.
AUGGCCCGACCCCGACCCCGACCCCAGCUGCUGCAAGAAACGUUGAUCAUCGAUAGCAAUGGGAAUUCACGGCUGGACGCCAAGAGUGAGCUCUUCUACUGCCCCAUGUGCACAACGACAGCGCCCAUCAUCCACAAAUCCAGCUUCGGCUCAUGCGGCCACGCCUUCUGCAACAGCUGUGUGGCCACGUACAUCGCUGUGAGGCAGCGUGAGAAUGCCGCUCUUCCCGUCGAAUGCCCCGACUGUGAGCACGAAGACGGCCUCCUCCCCAUGCCCAUGGUGCGGCAUGAAAUCGACCCCACCACAGUCACCGACGGCAAUGAAGAUUCACCGGCGGUGGACGGCAACGGUAGGCGCUUCUACUGCGCCAAGUGCAUGCAUGUGGUGCCAUGCGCAUGUAUACGGCGCAGCUUCACCUCGUGCGCCCAUGACUUCUGCUCAAGCUGUGUUUCCCGUCGACUGCGAGGACGGCGCGGUGACGGCAAGCACUUCUACUGCACCAAGUGCAUGCAUGUCGUGCCAUGUGCAUGUAUACGGCCCAGCUUCACCUCGUGCGCCCAUGACUUCUGCUCCAGCUGUGUCGCUCGUCCAACUUCCCAACGUCAAGGACUGCGCCGCCGAGCUGGAAAGAUGCCGCAGCAUCAGCCUGCCGACCUCGUCCCCGUGGACAUGUUGCUGUUAACCGAGGGCAAUGGAGAUUCGCCGGUCUACGGCCACGGCGAGCUCUUCGACUGCGCCAUCUGCAUGGAGACGGUGCCAGGCACCCUCAAGUUCAGCGUCAACUCGUGCGGCCACGCCUUCUGCUCCAGCUGCGUCACCCAGUACGUGGUCUUGAAGCUGGACGACAAGGUCGCCCUCAUCGAAUGCCCGCACCCAGGCUGCGAGGGUGGUACCAUUGAGCCGGAGAGCUGCCACGGCAUCAUCCCCACGGACCUCCACGACAAGUGGGGUUUGCUGCUAUGCGAGCUCGCGGUCGGCGCCAAGAGGAUAUACUGCCCGUACCUAGAGUGCUCGGCGCUCUUGCUCACCGACGGUGAGGCCGGGGCGGCGGCGAUCGCGGAGGCUGAGUGCCCGCACUGCCACAGGCUUUUCUGCGCCCGGUGCGCCGUGCCGUGGCACGACGGCUUCGGGUGCGAGGAGUUCCAGAAGCUCGGGCAGGACGAGCGCGGCCGGGAGGACCUCCUGCUCAGGCGUCUCGUCGGCAUGGAGGGCUGGCAGCGGUGCCCCAAGUGCCAGAUGUUCGUGGAGAAAUCGGAAGGGUGCAAUUACAUCAAAUGCAGGUGUGGAUACAGCUUCUGCUACCGAUGCGCAUCCGAGUUGUCCGCGCAAAACCAUUACUGCAACAAGUGCAUGCGCUAA